GAUGAACGCUAGCUACAGGCUUAACACAUGCAAGUCGAGGGGCAGCAUGAAAGGAACUUCGGUUCUUUUUGAUGGCGACCGGCGCACGGGUGCGUAACGCGUAUCGAACCUGCCUCAUACUCGGGGAUAGCCUUGCGAAAGUAAGAUUAAUAUCCGAUGGUAUAUUAAAACCGCAUGGUUUUACUAUUAAAGAAUUUCGGUUAUCGAUGGGGAUGCGUUCCAUUAGUUUGUUGGCGGGGUAACGGCCCACCAAGACAACGAUGGAUAGGGGUUCUGAGAGGAAGGUCCCCCACAUUGGAACUGAGACACGGUCCAA
Molecule: ribosomal RNA, 316 nt
Filed under: uncultured bacterium
Lineage: Bacteria
Description: bacterial SSU rRNA
Rfam family: Bacterial small subunit ribosomal RNA
Source: RNAcentral